RNAcentral lists this ribosomal RNA (816 nucleotides) under Trechispora subhymenocystis. Its description in RNAcentral is "Trechispora sp. SLL-2022l partial large subunit ribosomal RNA". It matches the Rfam family "Eukaryotic large subunit ribosomal RNA", at positions 78 to 915 of the family's 3401-position model. Lineage: Eukaryota; Fungi; Basidiomycota; Agaricomycetes; Trechisporales; Hydnodontaceae. The record is from RNAcentral.
CCCUAGUAACUGCGAGUGAAGCGGGAAAAGCUCAAAUUUGAAAUCUGGCGGCCCCGCCGUCCGAGUUGUAAUCUGGAGAAGCGUCUUCCGUGCCGGACCGUGUACAAGUCCCUUGGAACAGGGCGUCGUAGAGGGUGAGAAUCCCGUCUUUGACACGGACCCCCGGUGCUAUGUGAUGCGCUCUCGAAGAGUCGAGUUGUUUGGGAAUGCAGCUCAAAAUGGGUGGUAAAUUCCAUCUAAAGCUAAAUAUUGGCGAGAGACCGAUAGCGAACAAGUACCGUGAGGGAAAGAUGAAAAGCACUUUGGAAAGAGAGUAAAACAGUACGUGAAAUUGUUGAAAGGGAAACGCUUGAAGUCAGUCGCGUCUGCCGGAACUCAGCCUUGCUUCUGCUUGGCGCACUUUCCGGUCCGACGGGCCAGCAUCGGUUUCGAGGGGCGGACACUGGCGAGGGGAAGGUGGCGGCUCCGGCCGCGUUAUAGCCCCACGUCGCGAACGUCUCCCGGGACCGAGGAAUCCGGCGCAAGCCUGGGAUGCUGGCGUAAUGGCUUUAAACGACCCGUCUUGAAACACGGACCAAGGAGUGCUACGUGCUCGCGAGUGUUUGGGUGGAAAACCCGGACGCGAAAUGAAAGUGAAAGUCGAUACCCUUCGGGGGCACCGACGCCCGAGCCUGAUGUUUUCUGAAGGCCUUGCGGUAGAGCGAGUGCGUUGCGACCCGAAAGAUGGUGAACUAUUCCUGAGGAGGGCGAAGCCAGAGGAAACUCUGGUGGAGGCUCGUAGCGGUUCUGACGUGCAAAUCGAUCGCAGGACUUGGG